RNAcentral lists this ribosomal RNA (178 nucleotides) under uncultured bacterium. RNAcentral describes it as "partial 16S ribosomal RNA". It matches the Rfam family "Bacterial small subunit ribosomal RNA", at positions 338 to 524 of the family's 1533-position model. The record is from RNAcentral.
CCUACGGGAGGCAGCAGUGGGGAAUAUUGCACAAUGGGCGCAAGCCUGAUGCAGCGACGCCGCGUGAGGGAUGACAGGCCUUCGGGUUGUAAACCUCUGUUCAGUAGGGAAGAAGCGUAAGUGACGGUACCUGCAGAAGAUUAGCGCCGGCUAACUACGUGCCAGCAGCCGCGAUAAU